CUGUUUCCUACCCAAUCACAGUUCCUUUUCCCUUGGUUUAAAAACCCUGUCAGUUGUUUGCUCUAGAGCUCAAUCUCUCUGUAAAUGCCAUAUGUCUGUUUCACCUUCUCCUACUAUGUCUCUCUAUUGCUCUUUAUGUAUUGAGCUAUUUUUUAUUUGAGCACCUCCAUAUCACUUUGUCCUCACCUGCCGACGGUGGCUGGUCCCCUUUAGGAACGUGAGGUGCCUGAGGUCCCUCCGCCCCCUCUGGACAUCGAGGGGUCCCUGGCGUACACAGUACGUGGCAUUCUGGACUCAAGACGCUGGGUGUGGGGCCUACAGUACCUCGUGGACUGGGAGGGGUACGGUCCGCAGGAGUGGUGCUGGGUACCGGUGGGGGACAUUUUGGAUCCUUCCCUCCUGAGAGACUUCCACCGCCUCCACCCGGAUCUCCCACGCUGCGGGAGCCGCGAGUCAGGGGGGGGGUUACUGUCACGACUUCCGCCGAAGUUGGCUCCCCUGCCUGUUCGGGCGGUGCUCAGCAGUCGUCGUCACCGGCCUACUAGCUGCCACCGAUCCCUUUUUCGUUGUCUGUUUGUUUUGUCUUAUGAGUUUCACAUGUGUCCUGUUGUAUGUGCUUAAGGGGCUUCCUUAUUUAAAGUACGUGUACCCGCCCUUGUUUUGUGCGGGAUUGUAUUUUUGUUACGUGUGUGUGCAUUAGGUAGAGGUGUUCGUGUUCUGGACCUGGCACCCUGUGUUUUGGGUGGUCCACAUUAUUGUCCGCGCACUGUGUUGUGGGCUUGUUAUUUUGUGCCGCAUUAAAGUGCACCUUUUCCCUG
Long non-coding RNA from Oncorhynchus keta (chum salmon), 818 nucleotides. RefSeq lists it as uncharacterized. Lineage: Eukaryota; Metazoa; Chordata; Actinopteri; Salmoniformes; Salmonidae. The transcript is spliced from 2 exons. The record is from RefSeq and is a predicted model, not a curated record.